This 947-nucleotide ribosomal RNA is filed under the name Halomonas halmophila. RNAcentral describes it as "bacterial SSU rRNA". It matches the Rfam family "Bacterial small subunit ribosomal RNA", at positions 56 to 995 of the family's 1533-position model. Lineage: Bacteria; Pseudomonadati; Pseudomonadota; Gammaproteobacteria; Oceanospirillales; Halomonadaceae. The record is from RNAcentral.
UGCAAGUCGAGCGGAAACGAUCCCAGCUUGCUGGGAGGCGUCGAGCGGCGGACGGGUGAGUAAUGCAUAGGAAUCUGCCCGGUAGUGGGGGAUAACUUGAGGAAACUCAAGCUAAUACCGCAUACGCCCUACGGGGGAAAGCAGGGGCUCUUCGGACCUUGCGCUAUCGGAUGAGCUUAUGUCGGAUUAGCUAGUUGGUGAGGUAACGGCUUACCAAGGCGACGAUCCGUAGCUGGUCUGAGAGGAUGAUCAGCCACAUCGGGACUGAGACACGGCCCGAACUCCUACGGGAGGCAGCAGUGGGGAAUAUUGGACAAUGGGCGAAAGCCUGAUCCAGCCAUGCCGCGUGUGUGAAGAAGGCCCUCGGGUUGUAAAGCACUUUCAGUGAGGAAGAAGGCUUGUCGGUUAAUACCCGGCAGGAAAGACAUCACUCACAGAAGAAGCCCCGGCUAACUCCGUGCCAGCAGCCGCGGUAAUACGGAGGGGGCAAGCGUUAAUCGGAAUUACUGGGCGUAAAGCGUGCGUAGGCGGCUUGGUAAGCCGGUUGUGAAAGCCCCGGGCUCAACCUGGGAAUGGCAUCCGGAACUGUCAGGCUAGAGUGCAGGAGAGGAAGGUAGAAUUCCCGGUGUAGCGGUGAAAUGCGUAGAGAUCGGGAGGAAUACCAGUGGCGAAGGCGGCCUUCUGGACUGACACUGACGCUGAGGUACGAAAGCGUGGGUAGCAAACAGGAUUAGAUACCCUGGUAGUCCACGCCGUAAACGAUGUCGACUAGCCGUUGGGGUCCUUGAGACCUUUGUGGCGCAGUUAACGCACUAAGUCGACCGCCUGGGGAGUACGGCCGCAAGGUUAAAACUCAAAUGAAUUGACGGGGGCCCCACAAGCGGUGGAGCAUGUGGUUUAAUUCGAUGCAACGCGAAGAACCUUACCUACCCUUGACAUCGUGCGAA